UCCCCCCAGCCUGCUUCCCCAGCGGGAUCCCUCUUAUUAACCUCGCCGAUUGUACCUUUGAAAGGCUUUCUCCCUUCAGCUUUCUCUUUCCAUGAAAGGGCUGGUGGAGAAGAAGGGAAGGGGGCCCUGUUGAUGAAGCUUCAUGCUGAGAAUAACAAAGGUCACAGCCUAUCCAGAGUUUGGCAGGUGCCAGAAAAUCCAUCUCCUGGGGAGGUUUUAGGCUCAGGCGAGAAGGUAGGAGUUGAGGACAAAUUAGUGAGCGCAUACUGCUGACUCUCUGCAGAGAAGAAGACAUGUGUCCAGGUGUAGGACGGCGCAGAGACAUGAAAGGGGAGUUCACCGGCUGCACUGAAAAAGCUCAGUACUAUUAUGUAAACAGUACAUAGCUGUCACACGGCAUACACCGACCACCUGUGCUCCGAUCGAUGAAACAUACAGAAAAAUGAGAGCCCCUUUGCUUCUGGUUUCUAGCCUAAGCCAAAAUGAUGUCAUACAUCCCAGGAGUCUUCAUUUUUUUUUCAUCUGGAAGAGGGGGUUAUUUCAGCUAAGCAAAGCACGCCCUUCUGCUUGCAUGCAUGAGCUUGAGGCAGAUGGAUUCCAGGAAAUAAAUGCUACAUGAAUCAUCUCCCAUACACGGGAUGGCUGCAGCUAGAAAUGCUGGGGGGUCCAAAUGAUUUCUGAACAAAAUAAAGCAUGGAGACAUAGGAGGAUGGCCAAGUUUGCUUUAAAUUAUUAAAAUGUAUUAAAU
Rana temporaria (common frog) is the source of this 748-nucleotide long non-coding RNA. RefSeq lists it as uncharacterized. NCBI's taxonomy places the organism in Eukaryota, Metazoa, Chordata, Amphibia, Anura, Ranidae. The record is from RefSeq and is a predicted model, not a curated record. The transcript is spliced from 2 exons.